CGAGGCACUACGGUGCUGAAGCAACAAAUGCCCUGCUUCCAGGAAAAGCCUCUAAGCAUCAGGUAACAUCAAAUCGUACCCCAAACCGACACAGGUGGUCAGGUAGAGAAUACCAAGGCGCUUGAGAGAACUCGGGUGAAGGAACUAGGCAAAAUGGUGCCGUAACUUCGGGAGAAGGCACGCUGACACGUAGGUGAAGUGAUUUACUCAUGGAGCUGAAGUCAGUCGAAGAUACCAGCUGGCUGCAACUGUUUAUUAAAAACACAGCACUGUGCAAACACGAAAGUGGACGUAUACGGUGUGACGCCUGCCCGGUGCCGGAAGGUUAAUUGAUGGGGUCAGCGCAAGCGAAGCUCCUGAUCGAAGCCCCGGUAAACGGCGGCCGUAACUAUAACGGUCCUAAGGUAGCGAAAUUCCUUGUCGGGUAAGUUCCGACCUGCACGAAUGGCGUAAUGAUGGCCAGGCUGUCUCCACCCGAGACUCAGUGAAAUUGAACUCGCUGUGAAGAUGCAGUGUACCCGCGGCAAGACGGAAAGACCCCGUGAACCUUUACUAUAGCUUGACACUGAACAUUGAGCCUUGAUGUGUAGGAUAGGUGGGAGGCUUUGAAGUGUGGACGCCAGUCUGCAUGGAGCCGACCUUGAAAUACCACCCUUUAAUGUUUGAUGUUCUAACGUGGACCCGUUACCCGGGUUGCGGACAGUGUCUGGUGGGUAGUUUGACUGGGGCGGUCUCCUCCUAAAGAGUAACGGAGGAGCACGAAGGUUGGCUAAUCCUGGUCGGACAUCAGGAGGUUAGUGCAAUGGCAUAAGCCAGCUUGACUGCGAGCGUGACGGCGCGAGCAGGUGCGAAAGCAGGUCAUAGUGAUCCGGUGGUUCUGAAUGGAAGGGCCAUCGCUCAACGGAUAAAAGGUACUCCGGGGAUAACAGGCUGAUACCGCCCAAGAGUUCAUAUCGACGGCGGUGUUUGGCACCUCGAUGUCGGCUCAUCACAUCCUGGGGCUGAAGUAGGUCCCAAGGGUAUGGCUGUUCGCCAUUUAAAGUGGUACGCGAGCUGGGUUUAGAACGUCGUGAGACAGUUCGGUCCCUAUCUGCCGUGGGCGCUGGAGAACUGAGGGGGGCUGCUCCUAGUACGAGAGGACCGGAGUGGACGCAUCACUGGUGUUCGGGUUGUCAUGCCAAUGGCACUGCCCGGUAGCUAAAUGCGGAAGAGAUAAGUGCUGAAAGCAUCUAAGCACGAAACUUGCCCCGAGAUGAGUUCUCCCUGAGACUUAGAGUCUCCUGAAGGAACGUUGAAGACGACGACGUUGAUAGGCCGGGUGUGUAAGCGCAGCGAUGCGUUGAGCUAACC
This 1350-nucleotide ribosomal RNA is filed under the name Salmonella enterica. RNAcentral describes it as "partial 23S ribosomal RNA". It matches the Rfam family "Bacterial large subunit ribosomal RNA", at positions 1570 to 2896 of the family's 2925-position model. The record is from RNAcentral. Lineage: Bacteria; Pseudomonadati; Pseudomonadota; Gammaproteobacteria; Enterobacterales; Enterobacteriaceae.